AACGAACGCUGGCGGCAGGCUUAACACAUGCAAGUCGAGCGCCCCGCCAGGGGAGCGGCCGACGGGUGAGUAACGCGUGGGAACGUACCUUUUGGUUCGGAACAACUCCGGGAAACUGGAGCUAAUACCGGAUAAGCCCUAACGGGGAAAGAUUUAUCGCCGAAAGAUCGGCCCGCGUCUGAUUAGCUAGUUGGUGAGGUAACGGCUCACCAAGGCGACGAUCAGUAGCUGGUCUGAGAGGAUGAUCAGCCACACUGGGACUGAGACACGGCCCAGACUCCUACGGGAGGCAGCAGUGGGGAAUAUUGGACAAUGGGCGCAAGCCUGAUCCAGCCAUGCCGCGUGAGUGAUGAAGGCCUUAGGGUUGCAAAGCUCUUUUGUCCGGGAAGAUAAUGACUGUACCGGAAGAAUAAGCCCCGGCUAACUUCGUG
RNAcentral lists this ribosomal RNA (431 nucleotides) under uncultured bacterium. RNAcentral's name for it is "partial 16S ribosomal RNA". It matches the Rfam family "Bacterial small subunit ribosomal RNA", at positions 29 to 507 of the family's 1533-position model. The record is from RNAcentral.